UCUGUUUGUGUCCAAAAAAUCAGCACCAAAUUUACACCCAAAAAAACGGUGAGAUGAGAUGAACUGACUCGCCAAUGAACUGCCAAGUAGAAACACUUUGUUUGAUGCCGGAUAAACAGCCCUUGUUUAAACUGUCAGCCCUGACUUUAAAAGUGGCACACACCUAACUGGUUGCUCUUCCAAGACAAAAUUGUAGGCCAGCCUGAAUGACUGGCAGUAAUAAAAAGAUCGCUGCUUCCUGCAAGGAUUGACCUCAGUGCCAAUGCCUGUUCAACCACUAUGUGGAACCCAAAAUGUCUUUUGUGUAGUCCAGUGUGACCUUGGACAUCCAAGUUCAUCCAAACUGUUCAAUGUGGUAAUAGUCGCUGUGAGGAUAUAUGCUACUUUGUA
Long non-coding RNA from Anguilla anguilla (European eel), 390 nucleotides. RefSeq lists it as uncharacterized. NCBI's taxonomy places the organism in Eukaryota, Metazoa, Chordata, Actinopteri, Anguilliformes, Anguillidae. The record is from RefSeq and is a predicted model, not a curated record. The transcript is spliced from 3 exons.